Stegodyphus dumicola is the source of this 1032-nucleotide long non-coding RNA. The record is from RefSeq and is a predicted model, not a curated record. Lineage: Eukaryota; Metazoa; Arthropoda; Arachnida; Araneae; Eresidae.
AAGGAAUCAAUAAGUGAAAUUAGCAAAAUAUAUCGUUUCAACUCUCAGAAUUUAAGAUAUCUGCUGACACUGGUGAUAAUUGUUGUUUAUUUAUAGACAAAUCAGUUCUAAUAAUCAAAUAUCUGUUAGAAAAUUCAUCGGAAAAAGAAAUUGUUUUUUUACAGAUUUAAUAAACAAAAAGAAUUUUAGUCAUCCUUUCAGUUCUCUAAAUUUAGGUGUCAUUAUAGUUUCAGAACUAUCAAUAAAUUUAGAAUCUACAUCAGUGGAAUCUGUUAACUGUAUAUAUAUAUGCUAGUGGCAUAUAGGGAUUAUUAUGUUUGUUAUCCAUUAUGUUUUUAAUAAGGUGUACUAACAGAGUUUCCCUCACCUAGAAAAUUUUAAACUGCCAUGGAAAAUACAAAAUAUAUUCAGAAAGUCAGGGAGGAAUUUUCCCAGAAUGUCAGGAAGUUUGAAAAAUGGCAUUUAGCGUUGUACAUUUGCUAAUGACCGAUGAAGUGGCUGUCGUCCAAGCAAAUGAGUGUCAGAUGAUAAAAAGGGACAUGUAACUGGCCUUCGUAUAAAGAAAGAAGUCACAUGGAAAGAGCAAUUCUGGAACACAGAGAACCAGAUACAUCCUGAGAGAAUUUUUAUAUUGUUAUCCUGGGAGAAUAUUGUGCUUUCAAAGAAAAUCGGGCCACCAGAGAGGUACCUUGCAAUAUUAUUGAACAUAUUAUAAAAGACUGGUUGAAAAGUGUUUCAUUUAGAGAAAAGUAUCAUAAAAAAAAGGAAACAGAAGGAAGUUUGUAAACAAUGGAAUAAAAAAUUUGUGUAUUAGCUUGUACGAAAAUACUGUAAUUAAAGUUAUUAAUUGUUCAGUUUGUUUCCUAACUUUCAUGAAGACUUGGAUUGGUAGAGGAUACUUAGCUUAAGCAAAUAUUGUAUCUUAUACAUUGUAUUACUGAAUAUGAAAAUAAUUAGUUCAUUGAAUUUGAAUGUUUGAUUCUAGAAGAGAAAUUUAUUACAUGAAUAUGCAAUAUGGAAAUUAAUUUCAUU